AACCUCCGCAAUGUGAGAAAUCGCGACGGGGGGAUCCCAAGUGCCAUUCUUAACGGGAUGGCUUUUCAUUAGUGUAAAAAGCUUUUGGAAUAAGAGCUGGGCAAGACCGGUGCCAGCCGCCGCGGUAACACCGGCAGCUCUAGUGGUAGCAAUUUUUAUUGGGCCUAAAGCGUCCGUAGCCGGUUUAAUAAGUCUCUGGUGAAAUCCUGUAGCUUAACUGUGGGAAUUGCUGGAGAUACUAUUAGACUUGAGACCGGGAGAGGUUAGAGGUACUCCCAGGGUAGAGGUGAAAUUCUGUAAUCCUGGGAGGACCGCCUGUUGCGAAGGCGUCUAACUGGAACGGUUCUGACGGUGAGGGACGAAAGUUAGGGGCGCGAACCGGAUUAGAUACCCGGGUAGUCCUAACUGUAAACGAUGCGGACUUGGUGUUGGGGUGGCUUUGAGCUGCUCCAGUGCCGAAGGGAAGCUGUUAAGUCCGCCGCCUGGGAAGUACGGUCGCAAGACUGAAACUUAAGGAAUU
Molecule: ribosomal RNA, 520 nt
Filed under: uncultured bacterium
Lineage: Bacteria
Description: bacterial SSU rRNA
Rfam family: Archaeal small subunit ribosomal RNA
Source: RNAcentral